GGGGAUGUAAAGGUUUCGACAGGGGUGUGGAAGCGUGAUAAGCGAGCCGUAGAUUGCAUUAGCUACGAAAAAAUAUGCACGUUAAAUAUAAACGCUAAAAAUAACAAUAAUUUCGCAUUUGCUGCCUAAUUAACGCAGCGGCGCAUCGGUCUCUCCUCACCUGUAGGGAGAGGUAAUCGGUGUCAUUUAUACAGGAAAACCUUGCUUGAGUUUCUGGUAGGGUAAGGGAAUUACAGAAUAGCUCUUGGAUAAGUUUGUCUUUGAACCUUCAAGUGUGAAAUAAAAAAACAGAGACUACGCUCGUAGAAGUUCUAGUGAAAAUGCCUUUGGACAGGAGUUCGAUUCUCCUCAUCUCCACCA
Molecule: non-coding RNA, 360 nt
Organism: Eubacterium brachy ATCC 33089
Lineage: Bacteria; Bacillati; Bacillota; Clostridia; Peptostreptococcales; Anaerovoracaceae
Rfam family: transfer-messenger RNA
About the family: Bacterial tmRNA, also known as 10Sa RNA or SsrA, is named for its dual tRNA and mRNA-like properties. Its role is to liberate the mRNA from a stalled ribosome. To accomplish this part of the tmRNA is used as a reading frame that ends in a translation stop signal.
Source: Rfam